CCCAACUAUCCCUAUUAAUCAUUACGUCAACCCUAGAAACCAACAAAAUAGGAUCAAACGUCCUAUUUUAUUAUUCCAUGCUAAUGUAUUCAAGCGUUAGCCUGCUUUAAACACUCUAAUUUUUUCAAAGUAACAGUCCUGUUUCCCCGCAACACCAAAUUAAUGGCAUCACGGUUCUUCAAGAAGGAGGAAUCAGCGAGGCCAGUGCAUACCAUUGGCACGACCAACCUGCUGACCCCGAAAUUCAACUACGAGCUUUUUAACUGCAACAACUUUAAUAUACGCUAUUGGAGCUGGAAUUACCGCGGCUGCUGGCACCAGACUUGCCCUCCAA
RNAcentral lists this unclassified non-coding RNA (334 nucleotides) under uncultured Glomerales. RNAcentral's name for it is "sequence contains 18S rRNA gene". The record is from RNAcentral. RNAcentral also lists the same sequence under 1 other name. Lineage: Eukaryota; Fungi; Glomeromycota; Glomeromycetes; Glomerales; Glomeraceae.